This is a long non-coding RNA of Diospyros lotus (date-plum), 839 nucleotides long. RefSeq lists it as uncharacterized. The record is from RefSeq and is a predicted model, not a curated record. Lineage: Eukaryota; Viridiplantae; Streptophyta; Magnoliopsida; Ericales; Ebenaceae. The transcript has 3 exons.
AGGGUUUCGGCCGAAAAUGAAGCAUCAAAUUGCUCGGUUUUGAGAGCAAAUCGAGGGAAACCAAUAAGGGGCUUUCGAUACUUGAGGGAAGAGGAUCAUUUCUGGAGAUUUUGGGAAUUUUUGGAGUGGUGUAGGGGUGUUUUUGCAUUUGGCCGAAUGUAUAUAUAUAUAUAUCGAGUGAAGAUGAAAUCGGGUUGUAGAGUGAUCGAUCGAGCGAUCUAAUAAGGGGCUUUUGUUCGCAAGGUGAUGGGUAACUGAUCUGGAAAGUUUCGUGCCAAUCGGAGUUCGAAUCGAGGGUCAAUUUGAUUCGCCGGAGUUCGGUGGCGGGAUAGCUUCGACCGACUGUUUUUGGCCAAAUCGGAAGGCUUACGGUGGUCUUUUCCGAGCAAUAUUGGUACCAUUGGGAUCAACUAAGUGAGAGGAAUAGCCUGGUGUCGUCGCUUCAAUUUUCCGGUGUGCCGUCGCCGGAGAAGAUGACCGGAGGGUGCUUUGAGGGUUGAGACGAAGUGACUCGUGCGAAGAUCGAAGAAGGCACGCAAAUCGAGGCAGGCACGCAAAUCGAGGCGUAUCGAAAUAUCGCCAAAGGUGAAAGCGGUGGCGCCAAGGGAAAGAAUAUCAUCGAGAUGUAGCGGCUAUGUUUAGUUUUUCGUAGGUUUUGUCCAUGAUUACGAUGUUCAGAGGUUAUGUAAUAUUUUGAUAUUUUCAUGUGAAACAUCGAUUCGGUUAUUGUAAAGGAAUUGUCGGUUAUAUAUCAUUGAGGUUUCGAUCUUGCUUCCGCUGAUGUGAUUGUUGAUACCUGUCUUAGUUUAUUAUUAAAUUUUGAUAUGCUAAGAAGGUAC